UACGUAGGUGGCGAGCGUUGUCCGGAAUUACUGGGUGUAAAGGGUGCGUAGGCGGAUUGGCAAGUUGGAUGUGAAAUCUCCGUGCUUAACGCGGAGGUUGCAUUCAAAACUGUUGAUCUUGAGUGAGGCAGAGGCAGGCGGAAUUCCCGGUGUAGCGGUGAAAUGCGUAGAGAUCGGGAGGAACACCAGUGGCGAAGGCGGCCUGCUGGGCCUUAACUGACGCUGAGGCACGAAAGCAUGGGUAGCAAACAGG
This 253-nucleotide ribosomal RNA is filed under the name uncultured microorganism. RNAcentral describes it as "partial small subunit ribosomal RNA". It matches the Rfam family "Bacterial small subunit ribosomal RNA", at positions 524 to 776 of the family's 1533-position model. The record is from RNAcentral.